This 306-nucleotide long non-coding RNA is filed under the name Mytilus galloprovincialis (Mediterranean mussel). Lineage: Eukaryota; Metazoa; Mollusca; Bivalvia; Mytilida; Mytilidae. The record is from RNAcentral.
GUGUGUUUGUUCAUUCUGCAUUGGCUAGAGGUAUAGGUGAGGAUUGAGAUCUCAGGAACAUGUUUAACCCUGCUCCAUUUUUACGACUAUACCAAGUGGUGAGCCUCUUGCCUUUUUUAGUCAUGUAUGUUUUUUUUUAAUUUGAGUACAUCUAUAUGUUUUGGAUUUGGUGUGACAUCCUAUUUCAUUGAACUAGUACUCAUUUUUUCAUGGGGCAGCUAAAGCCCGAUUCUGGGUAUCGCUGUGUUGAAGACCAAUUGUGUUUUGUGUUCUCUAGUCUGGUUGUUGUCUCUUUGACACAUUUCC